UACCACAGCCAUAUAUACAUGCUUGUUAGACUUUGAGCCACACAUUUAUUAUUUACUGCUUAUGAGCAUUGAGUGUGGUCAAGCUGUGUAGACCCUUAGGAGCUUGUCAUGUGGUUAAAUCAAGAUUUCACUUGCACGUUCACUCAUAUAUGCUACUUCUACUCCGGAAGUACCAUCCACAUAUAUCCACCCAUUCCAUCUCCAGAAUCACCUAAAAAUAUUCUACUCCUAAUCCGGGAGAGAAUAACCAAAAAUAUUUUCUGUUUUCCCCUUGUGAAAUAAAUGCUCAAGUUAUCUUGUUACUACCACUUGCUAUAUUAUCUCAAGAGAUGAGUGCUCUAAAAAAAAUAUAAAUACGAGGAAAUAAAAAGGGGCAAGUGCCCGGAACCUCGAAAGAAAGAAAAAGUGAGACGAGAGGUAAAAAUGGACAAGUGUCCGACAGUAGAAUUUGGGGUACAAGAUACCCACUUGAGAGGAAAGAAAAAGAAGAGCAUCUCAUUCUCCUCAUAAAGUUUCAAAAGCAAGGAAGGUAUGUAUCCCCUCAAAAGAGCAAAGUAGAAUUAGACUUCCACCACC
RNAcentral lists this long non-coding RNA (576 nucleotides) under Sorghum bicolor (sorghum). RNAcentral describes it as "long non-coding RNA (SBIC_LNC006170)". The record is from RNAcentral. Lineage: Eukaryota; Viridiplantae; Streptophyta; Magnoliopsida; Poales; Poaceae.